UACGGAGGAUCCGAGCGUUAUCCGGAAUCAUUGGGUUUAAAGGGUCCGUAGGCGGGGCGUCAAGCCAGUGGUGAAAGUCGGCAGCUCAACUGUCGGACUGCCAUUGGAACUGGCGCCCUUGAGUUGUCGUGAAGUGGUUGGAACGUGCGGUGUAGCGGUGAAAUGCAUAGAUAUCGCACAGAACGCCGAUUGCGAAGGCAGGCCACUAACGACAUACUGACGCUGAGGGACGAAAGCGUGGGGAGCGAACGGG
This 253-nucleotide unclassified non-coding RNA is filed under the name uncultured Flavobacteriaceae bacterium. Its description in RNAcentral is "contains 16S-23S intergenic spacer region". It matches the Rfam family "Bacterial small subunit ribosomal RNA", at positions 524 to 776 of the family's 1533-position model. Lineage: Bacteria; Pseudomonadati; Bacteroidota; Flavobacteriia; Flavobacteriales; Flavobacteriaceae. The record is from RNAcentral.